CCUACGGGAGGCAGCAGUGAGGAAUAUUGGUCAAUGGCCGGGAGCCUGAACCAGCCAAGCCGCGUGAGGGACGAAGGUCCCAAGCAUUGUAAACCUCUUUUGUCGGGGAACAAAAUCCGGCUCGUGUGCCUGUCCGAGUGUACCUGAAGAACAAGCAUCGGCUAACUCCGUGCCAGCAGCCGCGGUAAUACGGAGGAUGCGAGCGUUAUCCGGAUUUAUUGGGUUUAAAGGGUGCGCAGGCGGGAUGUUAAGUCAGCGGUAAAAGCCCGGGGCUCAACCCCGGCGAGCCGUUGAAACUGGCUGUCUUGAGUGGGCGAGAAGUAUGCGGAAUGCGCGGUGUAGCGGUGAAAUGCAUAGAUAUCGCGCAGAACUCCGAUUGCGAAGGCAGCAUACCGGCGGCGAACUGACGCUGAGGCACGAAAGCGUGGGUAUCGAACAGGAUUAGAUACCCUUGUAGUC
Molecule: ribosomal RNA, 459 nt
Filed under: uncultured bacterium
Lineage: Bacteria
Description: partial 16S ribosomal RNA
Rfam family: Bacterial small subunit ribosomal RNA
Source: RNAcentral